GUUCAGACGGAGGAUAGCACUGGCGAGGCUGGGAGUGACAACACUACAUGGAGGAAGAAAUGGCGGUGGCCACGGGGAGGGAAGGCCACGGACCAGGGGGAAGGCCAGCAUGUGAUGGGAGAGCGAGACAGUGAUCGGUCGCAUCUCCACGACAACGUCGGAGCGGCGGACGGCGACCGGCGCCGGCGGGUCCUCCGCGAUCCGGCGGCGGCGGCUGAGCCAGCAGCAGACGGCGGUGGUGACCACGAGGACGACGACCGCCGCGCCCGCCACGAUCCCCAACGCAACGGCGACGCGACGGAGGCGGCUCUGCGACGGCGGCGCGCUUGACAGCGGCGGCGGCGGUGCGGUUGGCGGCGGCGGCGGUGGAGGGAUCGCGUGGCGAACCUCGCGGGACUGACCGUCUUCGUCGGACGUCGGCGCCGGCGGCGGGGGUGGAGGUACCGCCUGGUGGACGUCGACCGCGGCCGCGGGGGUUGUCGGCGGCGCCGGAACGGUGCGGGCGGCGGUCGCCGCGCCGGCUGCGGCGGACGCCAGGAGGAAGAGGAGCACGAGCUUGUAGUUGUAGAGGCUCAUUCUCGCCAUGUGUGCAGGGGCGCCCGGCCCGGCACCCUCUUCUUAUAGAGAGGGUUCGCCGGCGUACGUAGCUUGAUGGCUUCAACUGUAGCCCUUGCUGGAUGGCUGUAAAAUGCACUCGCACUCAUGUAUAGUUUUGUUCAAAAAUUUGACAUCAUUUUCACCAAUUCUUUUGACAUGAUGUCUCUAUAUUUCAGUACCA
Non-coding RNA from Triticum urartu, 778 nucleotides. The record is from RefSeq and is a predicted model, not a curated record. NCBI's taxonomy places the organism in Eukaryota, Viridiplantae, Streptophyta, Magnoliopsida, Poales, Poaceae.